Molecule: long non-coding RNA, 374 nt
Organism: Lutra lutra (Eurasian river otter)
Lineage: Eukaryota; Metazoa; Chordata; Mammalia; Carnivora; Mustelidae
Exons: 3
Source: RefSeq, a predicted model, not a curated record
GACUCUCCCUGGCUUUGUGAUCCCAGGCGAGGGACCCACUCUUCCAUCAAGAAAUGGGGCAGAACCUGAAUCUGCCCCCUGAGGCUGGGUGCUUCGUGAUACUGCGUGGGCUUCUAAUAAACGUCCAGUAAACCGCAGGUAGCGCCUCGGAGAGGGAUGGGCCCGUGCACCUGUCCACAAAGGCCUCCGCGCGCCGCACCUCCACCUUCUGUCGCCCAGCCCUGGCACGGCCAGCUUCGGAGACGAGCCUGCCCCUCGGGACGCCUGCAGGAGCGCAGAAUCCAGAUCAGAACCUUGGCCCCCAGCCUGGAGCCCGGAGGUGCAGCUUGAUGUCAAUUACGGCCCAAUUCCAGAGGUGCCAUCGAAGAGUUAAC